GUGCUCUCUUCAGCAGCACAUAUACUAAAAUUGGAAUGAUACAGAGGUUAGCAUGACCCCGUGCAAGGAUGACACACAAAUUCAUGAAGCAUUUCAUAUAAAG
Molecule: small nuclear RNA, 103 nt
Organism: Nomascus leucogenys (northern white-cheeked gibbon)
Lineage: Eukaryota; Metazoa; Chordata; Mammalia; Primates; Hylobatidae
Source: Ensembl